Molecule: long non-coding RNA, 1386 nt
Filed under: Betta splendens (Siamese fighting fish)
Lineage: Eukaryota; Metazoa; Chordata; Actinopteri; Anabantiformes; Osphronemidae
Description: lncRNA (ENSBSLG00000014272.1)
Source: RNAcentral
GUUCAUCUUAACAUGAGGAACACAUCCACAGAGUAUUGCUCAGGCACACACGACGAUAAGCAUACAAAUUAGAGAGGCAAACGCACACCAAUGCACACUGACUGCACUUCUGAAACGCGCAACGGAGCCUUCGCGGCGUCGCGAGAGCCGCUCAGUCAAACUGUGAACGGCUCGGCGGCCUUGUCAUCUUGGUAGACUCUGCUCGAGUGAGGCGUAUCUGCAGUGAUGCAGGUGUGUGUGUGUGUUGGGGGCGGUAGAAAUGUAUAACAGCACUUUUGGGAUCAAAAUGGCAACACAGUCAACAUUUUUACUGAUAGUCACUAUUAGCUCUCCACCCAUUUUAUUUUGGCUGUUUUUGGCCUAAGAGAAAGUGCUGUGAAGCAAAUGGCAGGAUAUUUACUGUGGCUGGAGGUCUUUCUGUUAAUGACAUUUAAAUCUCCCCCAGCAGAUGGUGGACACGACAGAAGCGGCAAUAAAUACUGUUAGCAAAAAUCCAAAACAAGAAGCAAUGUCAAGCCGAGCUGGGAUGAAGUCACAAGUGGCACAUAAAGGGAGUGGAGAACUGGAUGCGCAUGUGUCUCCUACGAGGGGAUCAAAUGGAACAGUGCUCAUUCACAGAGUGACCUCUUACGGUGCAGGGAAAGCACGACUCUCGCUUUCCUACCUGACUGCCGCCUGCAGGAAGCCCUCCUGCACGGCGUACAGCUACUUAUAAGGUAAACCACUGGAUCAUCAUCACCAUAAUUAUGCCCCAGCACAAGUCCCCACGCUCGGCCCGAGCAGAAAUAUAGUUAGAGGGCUAAAGGGAGCCAAUGCAACUCAUUAAUAGUGUGCCAGACCCACGGUGAUAACGCUGGAUCAAAUUCCUGAGAGAGGUUUUAUUUUUUGACCAAUUAGCUGCGUGAACAACCUAUUGGCCAUGAAGUGAUCUCUGCAGGGACUUUAUCAGACCAUGCUCUAUUAAAUCAGCUCUUCGGCUCAGCAGUUAUGUACCAUCGCGGUGCUUAGAAUGGCCGCUUCUGAUGGAUGUCAUUGCCAAAUGCCAAGUAAUAAUGGUUGUUAUUGUGCAUCCCAGGGCUGUAGUUAUCUUAUGGAUGCUUCUAUUGCUUUGUUUGUGCGCGCAUGUAUGUGCACUUAUGUGAAAUGGAGACACGGGAUAAUGGGUAAUAUUUUUUUUGCGUCUCAGAGAGCUCGCGCCCGGUGAAAUAUUAUCACCAUGGAAGCGGCGGCCGCUUCGAAUGUGAAGCGCGCUGUGGAGUAUGCACAGGGAGUCUCCAGGUGGGUCAAAGGGUCCGGCAGCAGGGCGCCGUUUACAUCAUAAAUCGUUUCCAUAGGUUCUGCUGUGAUGACGCGUCUGAGGGUUGCGCUGAGUGAGUGAAGCAUCAU